UCGGAUAAAAAGCAAACUCCCGGAAUUACGAAUUUCGAGGGAAAUCUAAAUCAAAUUAAGGAGAUUGGAGUGGCGGCCAUGUUCGUUAAUCAAAGAGGAUCCAGACCAUGGGCCACACCGGAGGCGUUGCCGGUGUCCGGUGGGGUUCCGAUACCACCCAACAAAAAAAUGGUCAAAUGCGAUGCUUCUGUUCAUUGCUCUCGUGGUCAUAGCAGACAUUAUCUUUCUGGUUCGGCUUGAUAUUUCAAAAAAUGUAGCCAUGGUGUUGAUUCAUGGCCCGAUUUGUUCUACCGCUCGCCGCCUUCCCGUGCACUGAUCGGUGGAGUUGAUGAUUCGAAUUCCCGGGUAUUCGACGGCGAUCGGAUUUCGGAAUUGGGGAGAUGUGAGGAGUGGUUGGAGAAAGAAGACGCCGUGACGUAUUCUAGGGAUUCCGGAAGGAGCCUAUAUUGGUUUCUGGUUCUGAUGAGGGGAGGAAAUCUUGUGCUAUAGGAAGUGAAUUUAAGGUCAAUUCAAGUAGAGAUUCCGAUGCUGCGUUUGGUUUAGAUCACCAGGGUGGAAUGCCUUCAAUUCUUCAAUCCAUGGUAUCAACUCUAUAUUUUGCAGAGAACAAUAUUGUCCAGGCACGACGGUGGGAAUGGUUAUAGUAUAGUAAUGACCACCAGUCUCUCAUCAGAUGUACCUUUUGGAUACUUCUCCUGGGCCGAGUACGAUAUCAUGGCUCCAGUGCAGGCAAAGAAUGAGAGUGCCCUUGCAGCUGCUUUCAUUUUUGCAGUUGGGUUGACACAGAGGCAAGCUUUAUAUACCUUAAGAUUUCAAGGGGAUUCUGAUCUCAGAAAACAUGUGGAAGAUAACCCAUGUGCCAAAUUUGAAGCCAUUUUCAUAUAGUUUGAUCUGAAGGUCGCUUUAUUUCAUGUUUUCGACUCGAAUAGGCAGCCACAAACCCUUUGUAAAUGUUCUGUUGAUUGUAAAGAGGAAAUUCACACCGCUUCUUCUUAGAGUCCUUACCUUUUCGAUA
This is a long non-coding RNA of Cucurbita moschata (crookneck pumpkin), 1015 nucleotides long. RefSeq lists it as uncharacterized. The transcript has 3 exons. NCBI's taxonomy places the organism in Eukaryota, Viridiplantae, Streptophyta, Magnoliopsida, Cucurbitales, Cucurbitaceae. The record is from RefSeq and is a predicted model, not a curated record.